RNAcentral lists this ribosomal RNA (429 nucleotides) under Chloroflexota bacterium. Its description in RNAcentral is "Chloroflexi bacterium partial 16S ribosomal RNA". It matches the Rfam family "Bacterial small subunit ribosomal RNA", at positions 355 to 776 of the family's 1533-position model. Lineage: Bacteria; Bacillati; Chloroflexota. The record is from RNAcentral.
UGGGGAAUAUUGCACAAUGGGCGCAAGCCUGAUGCAGCCAUGCCGCGGGUAUGAAGAAGGCCUUCGGGUUGUAAAGUACUUUCAGUCGGGAGGAAGGUGGUAAGGGUAAUAACCUUAUCAAUGGACGUUACCGACAGAAGAAGCACCGGCUAACUCCGUGCCAGCAGCCGCGGUAAUACGGAGGGUGCAAGCGUUAAUCGGAAUUACUGGGCGUAAAGCGCACGCAGGCGGUUGAUUGAGUCAGAUGUGAAAUCCCCGGGCUUAACCCGGGAAUUGCAUCUGAUACUGGUCAGCUAGAGUCUUGUAGAGGGGGGUAGAAUUCCAUGUGUAGCGGUGAAAUGCGUAGAGAUGUGGAGGAAUACCGGUGGCGAAGGCGGCCCCCUGGACAAAGACUGACGCUCAGGUGCGAAAGCGUGGGGAGCAAACAGG